Molecule: long non-coding RNA, 533 nt
Filed under: Ovis aries (sheep)
Lineage: Eukaryota; Metazoa; Chordata; Mammalia; Artiodactyla; Bovidae
Description: lncRNA (ENSOARG00000026229.1)
Source: RNAcentral
AUGAGGCACACCGUGAGCACCAGCAGCCUCUCGCAGAUGAGCACUGAGUCUUACCUGAGAAGCACCUCCCUAAAUGCUGCUACGCCUGAGCUGAGGUUGUGCCGUCCAGGGCGCAGGAUGGCCCAGCACAGUGUGGACACCAGGAGGCAACAGGGCGAAGUAAUAGGCCUACCAAAAAGGGUAACAUUACGUGUGUGGCUCAUAUUAUCCUCCUAUUGGCCAGCACCUCCCUGGGAGCAGGCCACAACACAGACCUGGCCUCGCCUUUGCUCCGUGUCUGCGGAUACAUCACCCAGAGCAGAGCUUAAGAGCUGUGAGGAGACCAUCCAGCCUGCAGUUCGAAAAUACUGACUUUCAGCUUUUUAAGAAACAGCUGACAUGCUCUAGAGUUAGACAGCAGAUGAGUGAGCCAUGCUGCUUGGGACAAUGUAGCAAAGCUUCAUCCAUCCAUCAUCUAGGAGGCUCCAACAAACUCAGCCUAGUUAACUGAAAACUAACUCAAGAAAAUUUGUGUAAAAUUUGUUAGAGCUGCC